Molecule: small RNA, 18 nt
Filed under: Arabidopsis thaliana (thale cress)
Lineage: Eukaryota; Viridiplantae; Streptophyta; Magnoliopsida; Brassicales; Brassicaceae
Description: Ath_wt_16637
Source: RNAcentral
UCCCGGGAAGUCCUCGUG